Molecule: transfer RNA, 74 nt
Filed under: Bacilli bacterium
Lineage: Bacteria; Bacillati; Bacillota; Bacilli
Description: tRNA-Cys
Rfam family: tRNA
About the family: Transfer RNA (tRNA) molecules are approximately 80 nucleotides in length.
Source: RNAcentral
GGGGUCAUAGCCAAGCGGUAAGGCGUGGGACUGCAACUCCCUGAGCGGCGGUUCAAAUCCGUCUGGCCCCUCCA